This 72-nucleotide transfer RNA is filed under the name Ipomoea nil (Japanese morning glory). It matches the Rfam family "tRNA". From Rfam's summary of the family: Transfer RNA (tRNA) molecules are approximately 80 nucleotides in length. Their secondary structure includes four short double-helical elements and three loops (D, anti-codon, and T loops). The record is from Rfam by way of RNAcentral. Lineage: Eukaryota; Viridiplantae; Streptophyta; Magnoliopsida; Solanales; Convolvulaceae.
GGGCAUUUGGUCUAGUGGUAUGAUUUUCGCUUAGGGUACGAGAUGUCCCGAGUUCAAUUCUCGGAAUGCCCC